Molecule: ribosomal RNA, 123 nt
Filed under: Blautia massiliensis (ex Durand et al. 2017)
Lineage: Bacteria; Bacillati; Bacillota; Clostridia; Lachnospirales; Lachnospiraceae
Description: partial 23S ribosomal RNA
Rfam family: Bacterial large subunit ribosomal RNA
Source: RNAcentral
AGAUGAGAUAUCCCAUUCUUAGUGAAGUAAACCCCCUUGAAGACGACGAGGUAGAUAGGGCAGAGGUGGAAGUGUGGCAACACAUGGAGCUGACUGUUACUAAUCGGGUGAGGGCUUGACCAA